UUUAUGGAGAGUUUGAUCCUGGCUCAGGAUGAACGCUGGCGGCGUGCCUAAUACAUGCAAGUCGAGCGAACGGACGAGAAGCUUGCUUCUCUGAUGUUAGCGGCGGACGGGUGAGUAACACGUGGAUAACCUACCUAUAAGACUGGGAUAACUUCGGGAAACCGUAGCUAAUACCGGAUAAUAUUUUGAACCGCAUGGUUCAAAAGUGAAAGACGGUCUUGCUGUCACUUAUAGAUGGAUCCGCGCUGCAUUAGCUAGUUGGUAAGGUAACGGCUUACCAAGGCAACGAUGCAUAGCCGACCUGAGAGGGUGAUCGGCCACACUGGAACUGAGACACGGUCCAGACUCCUACGGGAGGCAGCAGUAGGGAAUCUUCCGCAAUGGGCGAAAGCCUGACGGAGCAACGCCGCGUGAGUGAUGAAGGUCUUCGGAUCGUAAAACUCUGUUAUUAGGGAAGAACAUAUGUGUAAGUAACUGUGCACAUCUUGACGGUACCUAAUCAGAAAGCCACGGCUAACUACGUGCCAGCAGCCGCGGUAAUACGUAGGUGGCAAGCGUUAUCCGGAAUUAUUGGGCGUAAAGCGCGCGUAGGCGGUUUUUUAAGUCUGAUGUGAAAGCCCACGGCUCAACCGUGGAGGGUCAUUGGAAACUGGAAAACUUGAGUGCAGAAGAGGAAAGUGGAAUUCCAUGUGUAGCGGUGAAAUGCGCAGAGAUAUGGAGGAACACCAGUGGCGAAGGCGACUUUCUGGUCUGUAACUGACGCUGAUGUGCGAAAGCGUGGGGAUCAAACAGGAUUAGAUACCCUGGUAGUCCACGCCGUAAACGAUGAGUGCUAAGUGUUAGGGGGUUUCCCUACCCUUAGUGCUGCAGCUAACGCAUUAAGCACUCCGCCUGGGGAGUACGACCGCAAGGUUGAAACUCAAAGGAAUUGACGGGGACCCGCACAAGCGGUGGAGCAUGUGGUUUAAUUCGAAGCAACGCGAAGAACCUUACCAAAUCUUGACAUCCUUUGACAACUCUAGAGAUAGAGCCUUCCCCUUCGGGGGACAAAGUGACAGGUGGUGCAUGGUUGUCGUCAGCUCGUGUCGUGAGAUGUUGGGUUAAGUCCCGCAACGAGCGCAACCCUUAAGCUUAGUUGCCAUCAUUAAGUUGGGCACUCUAAGUUGACUGCCGGUGACAAACCGGAGGAAGGUGGGGAUGACGUCAAAUCAUCAUGCCCCUUAUGAUUUGGGCUACACACGUGCUACAAUGGACAAUACAAAGGGCAGCGAAACCGCGAGGUCAAGCAAAUCCCAUAAAGUUGUUCUCAGUUCGGAUUGUAGUCUGCAACUCGACUACAUGAAGCUGGAAUCGCUAGUAAUCGUAGAUCAGCAUGCUACGGUGAAUACGUUCCCGGGUCUUGUACACACCGCCCGUCACACCACGAGAGUUUGUAACACCCGAAGCCGGUGGAGUAACCUUUUAGGAGCUAGCCGUCGAAGGUGGGACAAAUGAUUGGGGUGAAGUCGUAACAAGGUAGCCGUAUCGGAAGGUGCGGCUGGAUCACCUCCUUUCU
This 1555-nucleotide ribosomal RNA is filed under the name Staphylococcus aureus. RNAcentral describes it as "16S ribosomal RNA". It matches the Rfam family "Bacterial small subunit ribosomal RNA". Lineage: Bacteria; Bacillati; Bacillota; Bacilli; Caryophanales; Staphylococcaceae. The record is from RNAcentral.